Molecule: long non-coding RNA, 402 nt
Organism: Thunnus maccoyii (southern bluefin tuna)
Lineage: Eukaryota; Metazoa; Chordata; Actinopteri; Scombriformes; Scombridae
Exons: 2
Source: RefSeq, a predicted model, not a curated record
AUUUAGCCACUAUAAUAAAGGCUUUUUAAUAUUUACUUCCUCGUUUGUUACAUUUUCUUACAUUUGAAAUGCCUGGAUUUCUCUUGUUUGAAGUAUUCUGUUUUUAAAUAUUUAUAAAAUGACCAAACCAUCAUUAAAUCAUUACAACAAUGGCAGAUACUCUUCUGUAACUCAUUUCUACUGUUUCAGAUAUUGUCACAUCUCCCAGUCAUUUGAACAGCGGCAGUGUGCUGACAGAGAGCAAAACACUGCAGAGUCUUCUGUUGAACCAGUUUGUCGCUCAACAUUUUCAGCACACAUAAAGGUUUUCAAACUCAAAAUCAGAACAGUUACAGCCAUCAAACACAAUCACAUGUGGAGAUUUGACACCAACAACAUGAUCUCUCCCAUUAAAUGCAAAGU